AUGGUCUUUGAUGCUCGAGCCUUCACACUAGGCAUGUUGAGCGAGAGUGCAUUCUGGCUGACUCGCUGUAACUUAUUGUUCCUGUGGUGUGUUGAGCCUUAUAACCCAGAGCGUGUAAUGAGACAGUUCGGUCUCUAUCAAGAAAUUCCACCACCUUUUCCAAGACGCAUCGAUGAGGAAACCCAUAAGCUAACCAAUAUGGGCAGGGGUUGGAGUUUAUACGAUUGGAGGGAACACAACAUUCAAUGGGUACAGAAGUGGGAAAAUGAAGCGCUAGCAGAUAUAGUGCAUCAACUUAGACCAUACGAUGGAAGUACAGAUCAAGCGUACAAGCAGUGGUACUGCAUCAACACACGUGCUAGCCUGGCUAGUCAGCCAACUACUAUACCAACACAUCUCACACAGGAGGAGCAGGCACGGAGACAUAUUGAGCUGCAUGCAGCUUACUAUCGUGACCAGAUGCUUGCAAGCUGCAACGAAGUAGGGCAGAUGGCUACGGAAAGCAUGCCGGCCCAGGGCCCAGCUCGCCCGUCAUUCAGCAAACGUUUUCAACAAUACCUGGUAACAAAGUUCAGAUGUGGUAGAGGCGAUGAUGUUGUCACUGGAGUGUACAACAUGCCGGUAGCGAGGUCAGCCAGACUGAGUGCGGCACCGUUGUCUAGACCGAGCGAGGCGCGUACGAGCCAUGGGAAGUGGGGGGAGGGUCCGAGUACUAGAACGACAUUGCCACGACAUGACUCAUCUCUACCACUGCAUCGCUCUUCUUCGGUGCAGCUUCGUCAGGGGCAGACAUCUGAGGACCAUGGCACGGGCUUGGAUUCAAUGCCCGAGCAGACUCUUUCCCCUAACCCAUAUGUGUACACAGGAUAUGACGCAUACACCCAAGGUGAGGGAUCUCAGUCGUAUCUCUCCACGCGAGGGAUCUCCAUGCCCGAGGAGACUCGUGUACCGGAUUUAAACCAGUACUACGUACAAUGGCCAGACAGUACAGGCGAGGGAUCUGAUCAGGGUGGCAUACCUAAUGUUAAUUGGGACGAUGAGAACACCCAACGUGGCGUCAACGCAGGUGUCCCGGGAGCAUCACAUGAUCAUGGCGACACGGUUACAUCAUUAGUUACAGAGUUCUUCGGAGGGGACGUUAUUGGCCCAUCUUUUAUCCCCGCGGAGUCACAACCAUACGCCUACAAUUACACUUCAGGUUCGCAACAAGGAUUCCCGACUCCACCACCUACGCAGGAGUCGCAGACACAUGAAGCCGAAUUGGAGUACGGCCACGGUCUUCGUGUAACUCGGCCACCUAAUCGCUUGGAGCUUUCCGAUCGUAAGGAAAGGCUAGGUGGUCGUCGUAAACUACGGUGA
RNAcentral lists this ribosomal RNA (1359 nucleotides) under Triticum aestivum (bread wheat). RNAcentral's name for it is "partial small subunit ribosomal RNA". Lineage: Eukaryota; Viridiplantae; Streptophyta; Magnoliopsida; Poales; Poaceae. The record is from RNAcentral.